RNAcentral lists this long non-coding RNA (763 nucleotides) under Homo sapiens (human). Its description in RNAcentral is "non-protein coding lnc-SUN2-1:1". The record is from RNAcentral. Lineage: Eukaryota; Metazoa; Chordata; Mammalia; Primates; Hominidae.
GAUGGUAGCUGCUGUGGGAAGGCUACUCUGAGCAUCGGCUGCCCGACAUGUGAGUGCCAUUCCUUGGGGCAUUUCUGCCACUGCAGCCCUCAAGCUUGCUGCUUCUGGAAGAACGAGCUUGACAAACAUAUUAUGGUCUGGUUCCAGUCAAGCAAAAUUCUUUAGCACCAGCUCCUCAUACCAUGCACCUGCUGUCGCCCAGCAUGCACCCUAUUUUAAGGGUACAGCCAUUGUCAAUGGAGAGUUCAAAGACCUAAGCCUUGAUGACUUUAAGGGGAAAUAAUUUGGUGCUUUUCUUCUAUCCUUUGGAUUUCACCUUCGUGGUCCUACAGAAACUGUUGCUUUUAGUGACAAAGCUAAGGAAUUUCAUGAUGUGAACUGUGAAGUUGUGGUCUCAGUGGAUUCCCACUUUAGUCAUCUUGCCUGGAUAAAUACACCAAGAAAUAAUGGUGGUUUGGACCACAUGAACAUCCCACUCUUGUCAGAUUUGAGCAAACUUCCUGAGACUACGGUGUGCUGUUAGAAGGUUCUGGUCUUGCACUAAGAGGUCUCUUCAUAACUGACCCCAAUGGAGUCAUCAAGCACUUGAGCGUCAAUGACCUCCCAGUGGGCCGAAGCGUGGAAGAAACCCUCCACUUGGUGAAGGCGUUCCAGUAUGUAGAAACCCAUGGAGAAGUCUGCCCAGCAAACUGGACACUGGAUUCUCCUACAAUCAAGCCAAAUCCAGCUGCUUCCAAAGAGUACUUUCAGAAGGUAAAUCAGU